GCCGAAAUGGCCGAGUGGUCUAAGGCGCUUGACUUAAGUUUGGUUUUCACCCGAUCUUAAGGUCUUCAAGUUCUCGCGAGAGAGCGUGGGUUCGAACCCCACUUUCGGCA
Sordaria macrospora k-hell is the source of this 110-nucleotide transfer RNA. It matches the Rfam family "tRNA". From Rfam's summary of the family: Transfer RNA (tRNA) molecules are approximately 80 nucleotides in length. Their secondary structure includes four short double-helical elements and three loops (D, anti-codon, and T loops). The record is from Rfam. Lineage: Eukaryota; Fungi; Ascomycota; Sordariomycetes; Sordariales; Sordariaceae.